AGUGGAUAGCUGGGUCAAAUGGUGGUUUCAUUCCAAGUUUUUUGAGGAGUCUCCACACUGCUUUCCAAAGUGGCUGCACUGAUUUGCAAUCCCACCAGCAAU
Molecule: microRNA precursor, 102 nt
Filed under: Marmota monax (woodchuck)
Lineage: Eukaryota; Metazoa; Chordata; Mammalia; Rodentia; Sciuridae
Source: RNAcentral